GCGACGGAGGGUCGAGGGGGAUGAGGUCUUGAUUCUCUUAAAUUAGCGUUCUUGACAUUUUCUAAGUGUGGGCAUCGGGGAGAUUUGGCGUGUACUUGGGAGCCCGUAACCACCUGGCGAAGAGUUCAAGGCGCCCUGAUGAGAAUAAGAGGCAAACCUGGGCAAGGUGCAGCCCAAAGGGAAUUCUGAAAUGGAGAUGGCUGCAGGAAAAUUUGGAUCCAGAGGUUCCACCAGUGUUUUCAGGAUUUCUCCACCCUUCUUCCAUUUCUCAGUCUGUUACCUCUGCCUGGCUUCAUGCUCAGUCAGGCUUUCUCCACAUCACAGCAAAGUGUCUACUGGUAGCUCCCAAUUCCAGAGAAGGAGGGAACAUCUUUCCUAAGAACCCCUGCAAAAGUCCAGGAGAAUACAGUGCUUGGCCAGGCCCAGGCAAUUGCUUCCCCCUAUACUGGUGUCAGAAGGAAAAAGGCUGAAUUUAUAAACAGCAUUUUCCUACUGGUUUGGAUGCCUGGUGAUUGCUGACUGGAUGCCAUAUCCCCCAGCUGAGGCUGAUCCACAUGGACGACACGGCCCGUCAAGUUCUCUUUGGAAUAGACUGAAAAAACUAUGAACUGUAGUUCCAGACUGUGCCUCUGAUUCCAACUCAGAAUGUACACGUCCUUGAGAAUGCUGAUUUCUCCAUCUCUGCCCUGGGGCAACAUCAGUUCUCUCAGGCGGCUGGACUUUAAGAGAGUAAAUCUUUCAAAAUAUGAGAUCCACAGAAGGAAAAAUGAAGGCCUUGGUGGUGACAAGAUUUUUCUCCACUGCCUUAGACUCAAGGAGUUCCCUCUUGUUAUUUGAGGAAUUUUC
RNAcentral lists this long non-coding RNA (846 nucleotides) under Equus asinus (donkey). Its description in RNAcentral is "lncRNA (ENSEASG00005035041.1)". Lineage: Eukaryota; Metazoa; Chordata; Mammalia; Perissodactyla; Equidae. The record is from RNAcentral.